AUGCCCUCCAUCGUCUCCUUCUGCCUCCUGAUGGUCUUCAGGUUCUUGUCAGAGCUGAACAGCUCGAGCGUGACUUCCUGGAAGUACACGGACCGCUCCUCCUCCGCCCUGAUGGCCGCGACGGCCGACUCCAGCACGGCCUCGUUGAGCUCCAGCACGCGCAUCAGCCCGUCCCGCGCGCUCUCCCGCUCCAGGAUCCGCCGCGUCUCCAUGGACUCCACCUCCCCGAGCACGUACGCGUUGGCGCGCUUCACGGCGUCGAGCUCGUCCACCGCGACGUCAAGCUCGUCGCGCAGCGCCUCGCACUCGGCCGCCGCCUGGGACUGCCUGGUGGUGAUGGCGACGUUGUCGGCCUCGAGCUCGGUGAUGCGGCGGUGCGCGUCCAGGCACGCCCGGUCGUACUUCUCCGAGAGCUCCUGCAUGGACUUCCGCAGGGCCUCCAGUUUCAUGUGCGCCUGCUUGUUCUCGCUCUCCUUGGCCUCCAGCUGCAGCUUGCAGGUCGCCAGCUCCUUGGUCACGACGUCGAUCUCCUGCCCCUGCACUUGCAAACAACACGCGUCAGAUAAGAUCGACGGAUUUGAGAAGGAACUAGAUAUGCAGUUGUGUGAUUGUGCGAAGCAGUGA
This 624-nucleotide ribosomal RNA is filed under the name Triticum aestivum (bread wheat). RNAcentral describes it as "partial small subunit ribosomal RNA". The record is from RNAcentral. Lineage: Eukaryota; Viridiplantae; Streptophyta; Magnoliopsida; Poales; Poaceae.